This is a long non-coding RNA of Peromyscus eremicus (cactus mouse), 1352 nucleotides long. RefSeq lists it as uncharacterized. Lineage: Eukaryota; Metazoa; Chordata; Mammalia; Rodentia; Cricetidae. The record is from RefSeq and is a predicted model, not a curated record. The transcript is spliced from 3 exons.
ACCACAGCAUGCACAAGGCCGGUCUCCUGACGAAAACACGAAGUUAGACUCAGUGCCUUACGAGGCCGAGACGUACGCUUCCCCAAGGCAUUGCUGGCUGCACGAACGGCCUCCUCGGGCGGGUCGUCAGACAGGGACGGUCGGGCCCGGGCUGGCCCGGGCGCACAGGGCUAGCCUUCCAGACACCAGCCCCCGUGGGUGGGAAGCGGCAAAGCAAACCAACAAACACCUGCUACGACACCGCUUCCAUCCCGCCUGGCACGGCCAGCGCCGGCCCAAGAUGGAGAAAACCAGCGCAGGCCUCCCGCACCAACGCCCCUUCUAGUGCGCAGGCGCGCGCGGAGGCCCCGCCCCCCGCGCUCCCGCCAAGACCCGGCGCGCGCGUCGGAAGUCAGAGACUUCAAGGCCCCGCCUUUGCUCUUCCGCCCCAAGGCCCCGCGUUCGCAGGCCGGUUCCGGUUGUAGCCCCGCCCUCGCGCGGGAACAUGCCAGAAGGUCUGAUAUCCGGAACGGGAGGCUGGCUCAAGCGCGCACUUCCGGUGGUGCCCCUUCCCAUCUCCCUGGAGGCCCAGGCUCUCGCUCUCGGUGCGGCAGCGCCAUCUGGCGCCGAGUGUUCCUCCGCCCGCCGAGGGGCGCGCGCUUCCUCCCUUCGGAACCUUCCAGAGACGCCGCGGCCCGGGUAGGCUUUACGCAUUCCGCCAGAAGGGCGGGACCUAAGACUCCGCCCCUGCCGAGUUCCCGCGCGGGAAGGGUUUUGCGGUUACUCUGAACGGAAACAGUUGGAGUCCUGAUGUGGAACGGACCUCAAGCGGCAGGAAGUCGGCUUUUUCCCGCGAAAUGAAGCCCUAGUGCCACAGUUCCGGUUCCCUUUUGUUCUGUUUUCGGGUUCCACGUUUCUGGGCCGCAGUCCCUCUCUCUCCAAAUGUGGAACAACUGUAGCAUUGCCCUGAAGAAUGACCAGUGUGGCAAGAUGAGCCUGCCAGUGCCAGAAGAGGCACAAGUCUUGGGGCUGUGAUCACACACAGAUCCUGAUCAUAUGGUUGGCUCUUAAUAUUCAUCGAGGAUUUCAACUCCAGAUCAGCAUUCAGAACCUGCCUGUCUACACUGAUGCUCCUCAGGCUUUGACACAUCUGAGAGUCUUAAAAGGGAGGUUGUGAUUUACUAGGCCUGCAAUGGAGCCUGAGGUUCUGCAUAUUUAAGUUUCCCAGAUGCUGCCAAGCAGCCAAUCCAUAGACAACACCGUAGGAAGCAAGGUUCUACAGCCCUGCUUCCCAUAUGGUAUCCUCAAGCAACACAAGGCUAUUAAGCACUUGAAAUGAACUAGCUUCAAUUGCUUCAAGCAUAAAAUGCACA